RNAcentral lists this ribosomal RNA (368 nucleotides) under uncultured organism. Its description in RNAcentral is "partial 23S ribosomal RNA". It matches the Rfam family "Bacterial large subunit ribosomal RNA", at positions 2099 to 2465 of the family's 2925-position model. The record is from RNAcentral.
CUUUACUGCAACCUGGAAUUGAAUUUGGGUUUUUUUUGCGCAGUCUAGGUGGGAGGCUUUGAUUAUUUCUUUUUGGAGAAAUAUGAGCCAAUAUUGAGAGACCACCCUAAAAAAGCUAGAAUUCUAAGAGCGUCCCUUGAAACAGGGCGCUUGACAGUGCCUGGUGGGCAGUUUGACUGGGGCGGUCAUCUCUUAAAAAGUAACAGAGAUGUGCAAAGGUUCCUUCAGGCUGGACGGAAAUCAGUCGUAGAGUGUAAAGGCAUAAGGGAGCUUGACUGUAAGACUUACAAGUCAAACAGAGGCGAAAGCCGGUCUUAGUGAUCCGACGGUACCGCGUGGAAGGGCCGUCGCUAAACGGAUAAAAGUUA